GAUGAACGCUGGCGGCGUGCCUAAUGCAUGCAAGUCGAGCGAACAGACGAGGAGCUUGCUCCUCUGACGUUAGCGGCGGACGGGUGAGUAACACGUGGAUAACCUACCUAUAAGACUGGGAUAACUUCGGGAAACCGGAGCUAAUACCGGAUAAUAUAUUGAACCGCAUGGUUCAAUAGUGAAAGACGGUUUUGCUGUCACUUAUAGAUGGAUCCGCGCCGCAUUAGCUAGUUGGUAAGGUAACGGCUUACCAAGGCAACGAUGCGUAGCCGACCUGAGAGGGUGAUCGGCCACACUGGAACUGAGACACGGUCCAGACUCCUACGGGAGGCAGCAGUAGGGAAUCUUCCGCAAUGGGCGAAAGCCUGACGGAGCAACGCCGCGUGAGUGAUGAAGGUCUUCGGAUCGUAAAACUCUGUUAUUAGGGAAGAACAAAUGUGUAAGUAACUAUGCACGUCUUGACGGUACCUAAUCAGAAAGCCACGGCUAACUACGUG
RNAcentral lists this ribosomal RNA (497 nucleotides) under uncultured bacterium. RNAcentral's name for it is "partial 16S ribosomal RNA". It matches the Rfam family "Bacterial small subunit ribosomal RNA", at positions 28 to 507 of the family's 1533-position model. The record is from RNAcentral.